Molecule: ribosomal RNA, 498 nt
Filed under: uncultured bacterium
Lineage: Bacteria
Description: partial 16S ribosomal RNA
Rfam family: Bacterial small subunit ribosomal RNA
Source: RNAcentral
GACGAACGCUGGCGGCGUGCCUAAUACAUGCAAGUCGAACGAGAGCAACCGGUGCUUGCACUGGUCAAUCUAGUGGCGAACGGGUGAGUAACACGUGGGUAACCUGCCCAUCAGAGGGGGAUAACAUCCGGAAACGGAUGCUAAAACCGCAUAGGUCUUCGAACCGCAUGGUUUGAAGGGGAAAAGAGGCGCAAGCUUCUGCUGAUGGAUGGACCCGCGGUGCAUUAGCUAGUUGGUGAGGUAACGGCUCACCAAGGCCGUGAUGCAUAGCCGACCUGAGGGGGUGAUCGGCCACAUUGGGACUGAGACACGGCCCAAACUCCUACGGGAGGCAGCAGUAGGGAAUCUUCCGCAAUGGACGCAAGUCUGACGGAGCAACGCCGCGUGAGUGAAGAAGGUUUUCGGAUCGUAAAACUCUGUUGUUAGAGAAGAACAAGUGCUAGAGUAACUGUUAGCGCCUUGACGGUAUCUAACCAGAAAGCCACGGCUAACUACGUG